This 229-nucleotide ribosomal RNA is filed under the name uncultured bacterium. Its description in RNAcentral is "partial 16S ribosomal RNA". It matches the Rfam family "Bacterial small subunit ribosomal RNA", at positions 568 to 796 of the family's 1533-position model. The record is from RNAcentral.
UGCGUAGGCGGAUUAAUAAGUCAGUGGUGAAAACCUGCAGCUUAACUGCAGACCUGCCAUUGAUACUGUUAGUCUUGAGUACGGUCAAGGUAGGCGGAAUGUGUAAUGUAGCGGUGAAAUGCUUAGAUAUUACACAGAACACCGAUUGCGAAGGCAGCUUACUGGGCCAUUACUGACGCUGAGGCACGAAAGCGUGGGGAGCGAACAGGAUUAGAUACCAUGGUAGUCC